Long non-coding RNA from Ailuropoda melanoleuca (giant panda), 2137 nucleotides. RefSeq lists it as uncharacterized. NCBI's taxonomy places the organism in Eukaryota, Metazoa, Chordata, Mammalia, Carnivora, Ursidae. The transcript is spliced from 5 exons. The record is from RefSeq and is a predicted model, not a curated record.
CGGGCCGUCACUCGACCACUGCGCCCCGCCCCCGCUCCCGGCACCCCCACCCCCACCCGCCGUCUCGCGGGGCCCCAGACCCAGGCGAGGGGGGCGGGGCCCCAGAGGCCGCUCUCACCUCACGGUAGUUUGUUUGAAGCCGAGCCGCAAAGUGCGGUCUGCGCGCCGAUUGGCGGAGUCCCGCCACGUGAUGGCCGGAUGACCCCACCCACAACCUCUCUGGUUACCUGGGCACUCCUAACGCCCAGAGAGCCCCAGGGACCGAGUUCAUCUCCUCUAGAAUCGUCUGUUCCUUGAGAGGCCGGGGUACCCACCGUCCCCAAGACGUGUCCUCUCGCAGACGCCUGGGCCGGCCGAUGUCUCCUGCGCUGAAGUGACCGCUCCAGCCCGUUUUUGCUCCCCUAAGCACUUUUUUAAAGUGGAAAAAAGAACAUCAGGCUUGGCGGGGGGGGGGGGGGGGGCGGCGGCGGUGAUCUGGGAAGCCCGGAACCGGAUCGCAUAUUACCCAGUUUCUUUAAUAAAGAAGGAAAUUACGUUUAAAAGGACGAAUUGUGUGGGCUUACAUUUUUUAAUCAGAAUUGUCAGCUGGAAUUCUUGGAAAGAAGGAAACGUUGGAGUAAUUUGCGUCCAAAAGAUAGGAAACCGAUCAGAUGUCCCUCAUUUGAGAGGCCCAGGGUGCCUACUGAAUAUAUAUUGAGUAUGGAGUUAUACAUUCAUUGUGUACCUCAGGAAGAAUUUUCAAAGUGGUGCCAGUGGUUGCUUCUGUGGAGAACAACUGGGAGCAGGAAUUUAAGAUGCAGUAGUCCAGAGGUGACAAACCGGUGGUCUCCGAUGUUUGCUUUGGACCAGAUUUUUUUUUUGGGGGGCCAACAUAAGAAUGUGGAACAACUGGAACUCAAUAGGAAAACCACUUGGCAGUAUCUUUUAAAGAUCACUGAGCUUCUGUGGUUUCCAAAGAGAAUCACCCCGUCAAAUGGACAGCCGCUUCAUACUAUUUGAGACGAGCAGAAAUAUUCUACUCCGUUGUGAAAGGGCACUUGUUAUACCCGACUCUGGAGAUCGCACGAAGGAGUUCAAGGUUCCCCUGGCUUCGUGAACUCUGAAGGCAGAGGCAGUGGUAAAAAUGUGUUCAGCCGACAUGGUUUGAGGGAUGCCCCAUUCGUAACCUACAGGAGGACGCUGUUUCCUUUGGUUAGACAUUGCCCCACAUCUGUGGUUUGGAGUGUUGGCCAGAAUAACAACUAAAAGCCAAAAAAAAAAAGUUCUCUUAAUGCUACUUUUACAUUAUUCAGAUACAUUUGACUCUGGAGCAACAUGGGUUUGAACUACAGGGGUCCACCUAUAUGCAUAUUUUUUUCGAUACACUAGAGUACUGUAAACAUAUUUUCUCUUCCAUAUGAUUUUUUAAAUUUUCUUUUCUCUAGCUUGAUUAUAAGAGUACAGUAUAUAAUACAUAUAACAUACAAAAUUUGUGUUAAUUGGCUGUUCAUGUGACUGGUAAGGCUUCUGCAACAAUAGGCUAUUAGUUGUUAAGUUUUUGGGGAGUCAAAAGUUAUGGAUGGAUUUUCAACUGCAUGUGAGUUAGCUCCCCUAACCCCUGUGUUGUUCAGGGUCUUUUGAAAUAAAUGUGUUUUUCUGAGUCCUUUCUCAGAAGCAUUAUAACUGAUGAAGACUUCACUUUGAUGUAAUUUGCAUUAAGGAAAAAACAGGAGAGGGAACCUAAUGUGACAUUUCAUUAUAGUCAAAUAAUCUAAAGUGUUAUUCCCAUCUGAAUGUCUUCUCAUUUUCCUUUCCAUUCAGAGAAACCAGAUACAGCAUUAUUAGCAAAAACAGAUGAGCCUGACUCUUGACUCCAUUUAAAAUUUUUCACAUUUCUAUAAAUUUGAAAUUAUUUUAAAAUAAAAAAAUUUUGAAAGCUAAUGAAAGAUUUAUGUAGAGAUACAUUUCUUCUGGACAUAUUCCAAAGCCUGGGAAAAUUUGAGAAGGAAAUGAAAUUAACUGCACUAAUGCUAAUAAUAUUUUAAACUACUCAAUUUUGCAUGUUCGGAAGGGCAUAGCCUAACAGAGACUUAAAGACAUUUAAAAGGUUAUUUGGUUCUACCAGCAUUUUUCUUAAAUUGAAGUAAAAUUCAUAUAA